UGGCGAAGGCAUCUUACCAGAACGGAUCUGACGGUGAGGGACGAAGGCUAGGGGAGCGAUCCGGAUUAGAUACCCGAGUAGUCCUAGCAGUAAACGCUGUGAGCUAGGUGUUGCAUUUCUCAUGAGGACAUGCAGUACCGAAAGGAAGCUGAUAAGCUCACCGCCUGGGAAGUACGGUCGCAAGACUGAAACUUUAAGGAAUUGGCGGGGGAGCACCACCAGGGGUGCGGCGUGCGGUUUAAUCUUAUUCGACACAGAGAACCUUACUAGUGGCGACGGCAGGAAGAAGGUCAGUCUGAAGGGCUUACCUGACGAGCCGAGAGGUAGUGCAUGGCCAGCGUCAGCUCGUGCCGUAAGGUGUCCAGUUAAGUCUGGCAACGAGCGAGACCUAUAUCUACUAUUGCUAGCGGCCAUUUAUGGGACCGAGCACUUUGUAGGGACUGCCUUGGAAACAAGGAGGAAGGUGUAGGCAACGCUAGGUCUGUAUGCUCCGAAUCCACUAGGCUACACGCGCGCAACAAUGGUAAUGACAAUGGGCUGCGACUCCGAAAGGAGAAGCUAAUCCUCGAAACGUUACCUCAGUUCGGAUUGCGGAUUGCAACUCAUCCGCAUGACGCCGGAAUCCCUAGUAAUCGGACGUCAUCAGCGUCCGGUGAAUAUGUCCCUGCUCCUUGCACACACCGCCCGUCAAACCAACCGAGCAGGACUUUGGUAAACCCUACCCUAUUAGGUAGGUUGAACCUAAGUUCAGUGAGGCGGGUUAAGUCGUCACAAGGUAGCCGUAGGGGAACCUGCGGCUG
Molecule: ribosomal RNA, 800 nt
Filed under: marine metagenome
Description: bacterial SSU rRNA
Rfam family: Archaeal small subunit ribosomal RNA
Source: RNAcentral